RNAcentral lists this ribosomal RNA (465 nucleotides) under uncultured bacterium. RNAcentral describes it as "partial 16S ribosomal RNA". It matches the Rfam family "Bacterial small subunit ribosomal RNA", at positions 338 to 795 of the family's 1533-position model. The record is from RNAcentral.
CCUACGGGAGGCUGCAGUGGGGAAUAUUGCGCAAUGGGCGAAAGCCUGACGCAGCGACGCCGCGUGAGGGAUGAAGGUCUUCGGAUCGUAAACCUCUUUCAGCAGGGAAGAACGGUCACUGUGCUAAUCAGCAGUGCAUUGACGGUACCUGCAGAGGAAGCACCGGCUAACUCCGUGCCAGCAGCCGCGGUAAUACGGAGGGUGCGAGCGUUAAUCGGAAUUACUGGGCGUAAAGCGCUCGUAGGCGGUAUGUCAAGUCAAGGGUGAAAUCCCCGCGCUCAACGUGGGAACUGCCUUUGAAACUGGCAAACUGGAGUGUGUGAGAGGAUAGUGGAAUUCCAGGUGUAGGAGUGAAAUCCGUAGAGAUCUGGAGGAAUAUCAGUGGCGAAGGCGACUAUCUGGCACAUAACUGACGCUGAGGAGCGAAAGCGUGGGUAGCAAACAGGAUUAGAUACCCCUGUAGUC